Molecule: ribosomal RNA, 197 nt
Filed under: uncultured bacterium
Lineage: Bacteria
Description: partial 16S ribosomal RNA
Rfam family: Bacterial small subunit ribosomal RNA
Source: RNAcentral
ACGCUCGACACCUACGGGAGGCAGCAGUGGGGGAUAUUGCACAAUGGGGGAAACCCUGAUGCAGCAACGCCGCGUGAGGGAAGACGGUUUUCGGAUUGUAAACCUCUGUCAUCGGUGACGAUAAUGACGGUAGCCGAUGAGGAAGCUCCGGCUAACUACGUGUCAGCAGCCGCGGUAAUCUGAGCGGCUGGCAAGGC